ACAAAGCUAGCGGCGGACGGGUGAGUAACACGUGGGCAACCUGCCUCAUAGAGGGGAAUAGCCUCCCGAAAGGGAGAUUAAUACCGCAUAAGAUUGUAGCUUCGCAUGAAGUAGCAAUUAAAGGAGCAAUCCGCUAUGAGAUGGGCCCGCGGCGCAUUAGCUAGUUGGUGAGGUAACGGCUCACCAAGGCGACGAUGCGUAGCCGACCUGAGAGGGUGAUCGGCCACAUUGGGACUGAGACACGGCCCAAACUCCUACGGGAGGCUGCAGUGGGGAAUAUUGCACAAUGGGCGCAAGCCUGAUGCAGCCAUGCCGCGUGUGUGAAGAAGGCCUUCGGGUUGUAAAGCUCUGUCUUCAGGGACGAUAAUGACGGUACCUGAGGAGGAAGCCACGGCUAACUACGUGCCAGCAGCCGCGGUAAUACGUAGGUGGCGAGCGUUGUCCGGAUUUACUGGGCGUAAAGCGCGCGCAGGCGGAUCAGUCAGUAUGAAGUUAAAGGCUGUGGCUCAACCAUAGUUCGCUUUGGAAACUGUCAAACUUGAGUGCAGAAGGGGAGAGUGGAAUUCCAGGUGUAGCGGUGAAAUGCGUAGAGAUCUGGAGGAAUACCGGUGGCGAAGGCGGCCCCCUGGACAAAGACUGACGCUGAGGUGCGAAAGCGUGGGGAGCGAACAGGAUUAGAUACCCUGGUAGUCCACGCCGUAAACGUGGAUGCUGGAUGUGGGGCCCGUUCCACGGGUUCCGUGUCGGAGCUAACGCGUUAAGCAUCCCGCCUGGGGAGUACGGCCGCAAGGUUAAAACUCAAAGGAAUUGACGGGGGCCCGCACAAGCGGUGGAGCAUGUGGUUUAAUUCGAUGCAACGCGAAGAACCUUACCUGGUCUUGACAUCCACAGAACUUGGCAGAGAUGCCUUGGUGCCUUCGGGAACUGUGAGACAGGUGCUGCAUGGCUGUCGUCAGCUCGUGUCGGGAAAUGUUGGGUUAAGUCCCGCAACGAGCGCAACCCUUAUCCUUUGUUGCCAGCGGUCCGGCCGGGAACUCAAAGGAGACUGCCAGUGAUAAACUGGAGGAAGGUGGGGAUGACGUCAAGUCAUCAUGGCCCUUACGACCAGGGCUACACACGUGCUACAAUGGCGCAUACAAAGAGAAGCGACCUCGCGAGAGCAAGCGGACCUCAUAAAGUGCGUCGUAGUCCGGAUUGGAGUCUGCAACUCGACUCCAUGAAGUCGGAAUCGCUAGUAAUCGUGGAUCAGAAUGCCACGGUGAAU
This 1264-nucleotide ribosomal RNA is filed under the name human gut metagenome. Its description in RNAcentral is "bacterial SSU rRNA". It matches the Rfam family "Bacterial small subunit ribosomal RNA", at positions 86 to 1367 of the family's 1533-position model. The record is from RNAcentral.